UUGUUGGCGGGGUAACGGCCCACCAAGGCAACGAUCAGUAGGGGUUCUGAGAGGAAGGUCCCCCACAUUGGAACUGAGACACGGUCCAAACUCCUACGGGAGGCAGCAGUGAGGAAUAUUGGUCAAUGGGCGGAAGCCUGAACCAGCCAAGUAGCGUGCAGGAUGACGGCCCUAUGGGUUGUAAACUGCUUUUAUACAGGAAUAAAGUUAGCCACGUGUGGUUAUUUGUAGGUACUGUAUGAAUAAGGACCGGCUAAUUCCGUGCCAGCAGCCGCGGUAAUACGGAAGGUCCAGGCGUUAUCCGGAUUUAUUGGGUUUAAAGGGAGCGUAGGCCGUCUGUUAAGCGUGUUGUGAAAUGUAGAUGCUCAACAUCUGAAUUGCAGCGCGAACUGGCAGACUUGAGUGUGCGCAACGUAGGCGGAAUUCGUGGUGUAGCGGUGAAAUGCUUAGAUAUCACGAAGAACUCCGAUUGCGAAGGCAGCUUACGGGAGCACAACUGACGCUGAAGCUCGAAAGUGCGGGUAUCGAACAGGAUUAGAUACCCUGGUAGUCCGCACGGUAAACGAUG
This 568-nucleotide ribosomal RNA is filed under the name uncultured bacterium. RNAcentral's name for it is "bacterial SSU rRNA". It matches the Rfam family "Bacterial small subunit ribosomal RNA", at positions 246 to 811 of the family's 1533-position model. The record is from RNAcentral.